AUUAUUUGGAACUGAAAAUUACGUAAUUUAUCGACCAGCAGGCUUGUAUUUGUUAUAAAUCAUAAAAAACCUGUGACGCCAGUGGAACUACGUGGUUUUCUUUCGUGAUGAUUUGAUGAUACCUCAAUGGAAUUGAGCCAAGUUUUCGCCGUAUUGGGUCCUAGAUGCCCCUUGGACUUAAGCCCCAGUGCCACUAUACUACCUUACCAGUUAUGUGUGGGUGUCCUAAGGCACCCCAGAGAUGCAAAGGACCUUCACAAACUCACGCCACGCCUUCCUAUCUUCAGCAACCCUCGUGACCUCGCUCCACCAGCUCAAACCUGCCAGUCGCAGCUCAUUUUUCGACGGACCGCUUCCAUGAGUAGACAAAGCACCGACGAUCACGGCUUGCAUCACCUGUACUGCUAUGUAAUAUAGCAUGCUGAACAAUACUGCCAUUAUACUAGGAUCAACGUCCUGCCCCUUCCCCGGCUGUGUACAAAUUGGAACUCCAUUUGCAUGCCCCUUUGACUGAGCAAUGUGUGUAUGUGCUCGAAACACAUUCACUUGCAACAGAAUGACUCCCAGGCUGACCUGGCUCAGCUCCUGUAUGUCUGUUCUACAUAGACAAUGGUUUCCAUGAAAGAGUCAAAAUUCUCUCCACAUACAAACACUUCCAACGCCUACACUGACUACACCAAAUAUGAUCAUCACUCAACGUGUCUCACAUCAAGAUACUUUUUAAAAGUCAUCAAGAAGGAACAUAAUAUCUUUUCCCAUGGUUUCCUGAAUAAUCCUAACUAAAAGUUACUUCUCUAUUCUAUUUUUCCUGCAUGGAGUGGCGCUUUUCCGUCUAAUGGAAACGAAAUGAACAUAUAUGCUCUGGGUUUUUUUUUUGUGCACCUUUCCAAUAUUACUAAUAAAGCAUUU
Leguminivora glycinivorella is the source of this 909-nucleotide long non-coding RNA. RefSeq lists it as uncharacterized. The record is from RefSeq and is a predicted model, not a curated record. Lineage: Eukaryota; Metazoa; Arthropoda; Insecta; Lepidoptera; Tortricidae. The transcript is spliced from 5 exons.